CCUACGGGAGGCAGCAGUGGGGAAUAUUGGACAAUGGGGGAAACCCUGAUCCAGCGACGCCGCGUGAGUGAAGAAGUAUUUCGGUACGUAAAGCUCUAUCAGCAGGAAAGAAAAUGACGGUACCUGACUAAGAAGCCCCGGCUAACUACGUGCCAGCAGCCGCGGUAAUACGUAGGGGGCAAGCGUUAUCCGGAUUUACUGGGUGUAAAGGGAGCGUGGACGGCAGCGCAAGUCUGGAGUGAAAUGCCGGGGCGCAACCCCGGAACUGCUCUGGAAACUGUGAAGCUGGAGUGCAGGAGAGGUAGGCGGAAUUCCUGGUGUAGCGGUGAAAUGCGUAGAUAUCAGGAGGAACACCGGCGGCGAAGGCGGCUUACUGGACUGUAACUGACGUUGAGGCGCGAAGGCGUGGGGAGCAAACAGGAUUAGAUACCCGUGUAGUC
Molecule: ribosomal RNA, 440 nt
Filed under: uncultured bacterium
Lineage: Bacteria
Description: partial 16S ribosomal RNA
Rfam family: Bacterial small subunit ribosomal RNA
Source: RNAcentral